AACAAGGCGUACCUGCGGACCUGCGGAAGGAUCAUUAACGAGUGCAACCUACCCUUUUAAAAAAUGGGUGGUACCUCCCGUCCUUUGCGGGCCCCCUUCUUUUAUUAAGGGGGGGGCUUUUAAGACUUUCUGCUUCGGCGGGGUUAUUCCCGCCGGAACACCUUCAAAAAACUCUUGAUCAAAAAACUGUUCAGUCCGAGAAUUUUUGAAAAUUAAAACAAAACUUUCAACAAUGGAUCU
This 240-nucleotide unclassified non-coding RNA is filed under the name soil metagenome. RNAcentral describes it as "partial contains 5.8S ribosomal RNA, internal transcribed spacer 2, and large subunit ribosomal RNA". The record is from RNAcentral.